AGUGAACGCUGGCGGUAGGCCUAACACAUGCAAGUCGAACGGCAGCACAGUAAGAGCUUGCUCUUACGGGUGGCGAGUGGCGGACGGGUGAGGAAUACAUCGGAAUCUACUUUUUCGUGGGGGAUAACGUAGGGAAACUUACGCUAAUACCUCAUACGACCUACGGGUGAAAGCAGUGGAUCUUCGGACCUUGCGCGAUUGAAUGAGCCGAUGUCGGAUUAGCUAGUUGGCGGGGUAAAGGCCCACCAAGGCGACGAUCCGUAGCUGGUCUGAGAGGAUGAUCAGCCACACUGGAACUGAGACACGGUCCAGACUCCUACGGGAGGCAGCAGUGGGGAAUAUUGGACAAAGGGCGCAAGCCUGAUCCAGCCAUACCGCGUGGGUGAAGAAGGCCUUCGGGUUGUAAAGCCCUUUUGUUGGGAAAGAAAAGCAGCAGGUGAAUACCCCGCUGUUCUGACGGUACCCAAAGAAUAAGCACCGGCUAACUUCGUG
This 492-nucleotide ribosomal RNA is filed under the name uncultured bacterium. RNAcentral's name for it is "partial 16S ribosomal RNA". It matches the Rfam family "Bacterial small subunit ribosomal RNA", at positions 29 to 507 of the family's 1533-position model. The record is from RNAcentral.